RNAcentral lists this transfer RNA (74 nucleotides) under Acholeplasmataceae bacterium. RNAcentral's name for it is "tRNA-Gln". It matches the Rfam family "tRNA". Rfam says of the family: Transfer RNA (tRNA) molecules are approximately 80 nucleotides in length. Their secondary structure includes four short double-helical elements and three loops (D, anti-codon, and T loops). Further hydrogen bonds mediate the characteristic L-shaped molecular structure. tRNAs have two regions of fundamental functional importance: the anti-codon, which is responsible for specific mRNA codon recognition, and the 3' end, to which the tRNAs corresponding amino acid is attached (by aminoacyl-tRNA synthetases). tRNAs cope with the degeneracy of the genetic code in two manners: having more than one tRNA (with a specific anti-codon) for a particular amino acid; and 'wobble' base-pairing, i.e. permitting non-standard base-pairing at the 3rd anti-codon position. The record is from RNAcentral. Lineage: Bacteria; Bacillati; Mycoplasmatota; Mollicutes; Acholeplasmatales; Acholeplasmataceae.
UGCCGAUUGAUGUAAUGGUAGCAUAAUACACUUUGACUGUAUUAGUUAUGGUUCAAAUCCAUAAUCGGCAGCCA